GGCGCUAUGGUGUAGUGGCAGCACAUGGGAUUCUGAUUUCAGGUGAACAUUGGUCAUUUCCCAUAACCCAGGUUCGAACCCUGGUAGUGCCU
Non-coding RNA from Armillaria novae-zelandiae, 92 nucleotides. NCBI's taxonomy places the organism in Eukaryota, Fungi, Basidiomycota, Agaricomycetes, Agaricales, Physalacriaceae. The record is from the annotation of a GenBank genome assembly.